RNAcentral lists this ribosomal RNA (773 nucleotides) under uncultured Neocallimastigales. RNAcentral describes it as "partial large subunit ribosomal RNA". It matches the Rfam family "Eukaryotic large subunit ribosomal RNA", at positions 24 to 635 of the family's 3401-position model. Lineage: Eukaryota; Fungi; Neocallimastigomycota; Neocallimastigomycetes; Neocallimastigales. The record is from RNAcentral.
CGCAUCUGUGCAUGCAGCAUAUCAAUAAGCGGAGAAAAGAAACUAACAAGGAUUCCCCUAGUAACGGCGAGUGAAGCGGGAAGAGCUCAAAUUUGAAAUCUUAAAGGGUUUCCCUUUACGAAUUGUAGUUUAAAGAAGUGUUUUCUGUUGAGGUUUUGGUAAAAGUUCUUUGGAAUAGGACAUCAUAGAGGGUGAGAAUCCCGUAUUUGACCUUUACUUUCAACUUUGUGAUACACUUUCAAAGAGUCGGAUUGUUUGGGAAUGCAGUCCAAAAUGGGUGGUAAAUUUCAUCUAAAGCUAAAUAUUGGCGAGAGACCGAUAGCGAACAAGUACCGUGAGGGAAAGAUGAAAAGAACUUUGAAAAGAGAGUUAAACAGUACGUGAAAUUGUCAAAAGGGAAGCGUUUGACACCAGUGUUGUUUUUCUGAAAAUCAAUUAAAGAACUGUUUAUGCUAAGCUGUUUAGACUUUAUCAGCUAACUGUUUAGUUUUGAGCUUUUCUUUAAUGCACUUUUCAGUUAACAAGUCAACAUCAAUUUCUUUUGCUGUAAAAAAGCUUGAGGAAGGUGGCUUGAGAUUCGUCUUAAGUGUUUAUAGCCUCUUGCCUAUGCAGUCGGAGAGAUUGAGGUCUGCAGCGUAGAUCCUUCGGGGCUAAAUGCAUUUGUGCUAAGUUAUAGCAUUUUAUAGACAACUUGUUGACUAUGAUUUGUCUUGUAACUUACUCGCUUAUGUUAUUUUACCUACGCUUAGGAUGUUGAACGCGCACAGAGUCUC